GAUGAAGAACGUAGCGAAGUGCGAUAAGUAGUGUGAAUUGCAGAAUUCCGUGAAUCAUCGAAUCUUUGAACGCAAAUUGCACUCCCUGGCAUCCCGGGGAGUAUGCCUGUUUGAGGGUCAGUAAAUUUAAAAUCGGUGCGUUGCAUUUUUUUUUUUGUAACGUCUCCGGAGUUUGGGUUAUCUUAACCCUGAGGGUUAAGAGGCUUAAAAUUGACAUCAUUUCGCGCGCUUUUAGACGUACAUAAAUUAAUUUUUAUUCGUCUAAUCUGGUGCCGAAGGUUAUUAGAUGCGAUCAUGUUUCGUGGUCUCGUGUCUAUAAUUUUAUCAUGAUUUGACCUCAAAUCAGGUAGGAGUACCCGCUGAACUUAAGCAUAUCAAUAAGCGGAGGA
Molecule: unclassified non-coding RNA, 389 nt
Filed under: soil metagenome
Description: partial contains 5.8S ribosomal RNA, internal transcribed spacer 2, and large subunit ribosomal RNA
Rfam family: 5.8S ribosomal RNA (bases 1-120)
Source: RNAcentral